This 274-nucleotide ribosomal RNA is filed under the name uncultured bacterium. Its description in RNAcentral is "partial 16S ribosomal RNA". It matches the Rfam family "Bacterial small subunit ribosomal RNA", at positions 523 to 796 of the family's 1533-position model. The record is from RNAcentral.
AUACGGAGGGUGCAAGCGUUACUCGGAAUCACUGGGCGUAAAGCGCGCGCAGGCGGCUAUUUAAGUUGGAUGUGAAAGCCUACGGCUCAACCGUAGAACUGCAUCCAAAACUAUUUAGCUAGAGUGUGGGCGAGGAAGAUGGAAUUAGUUGUGUAGGGGUAAAAUCCGUAGAGAUAACUAGGAAUACCAAAAGCGAAGGCAAUCUUCUGGAACACUACUGACUCUGAGGCGCGAAAGCGUGGGGAGCAAACAGGAUUAGAAACCCUAGUAGUCC